This 506-nucleotide ribosomal RNA is filed under the name uncultured bacterium. Its description in RNAcentral is "bacterial SSU rRNA". It matches the Rfam family "Bacterial small subunit ribosomal RNA", at positions 29 to 527 of the family's 1533-position model. The record is from RNAcentral.
AGUGAACGCUGGCGGCAGGCUUAACACAUGCAAGUCGAGGGGCAGCGCGAUGUAGCAAUACAUUGGCGGCGACCGGCGCACGGGUGCGUAACACGUAUGGAACUUACCCUUUACUGGGAGAUAGCCCGGAGAAAUCCGGAUUAAUAUCCCAUAAUAAACGAAGUGGCAUCACUUUGUUUUGAAAGCUCCGGCGGUAAAGGAUGGCCAUGCGCACGAUUAGCUAGUAGGUGAGGUAACGGCUCACCUAGGCUACGAUCGUUAGGGGGCCUGAGAGGGUUAUCCCCCACACUGGUACUGAGACACGGACCAGACUCCUACGGGAGGCAGCAGUGAGGAAUAUUGCGCAAUGGAGGCAACUCUGACGCAGCCAUGCCGCGUGCAGGAAGAAGGCGCUACGCGUUGUAAACUGCUUUUAACCGGGAAGAAACCCUCCGACGUGUCGGAGGUUGACGGUACCGGAGGAAUAAGCACCGGCUAACUUCGUGCCAGCAGCCGCGGUAAUGUCG